Molecule: ribosomal RNA, 491 nt
Filed under: Staphylococcus aureus
Lineage: Bacteria; Bacillati; Bacillota; Bacilli; Caryophanales; Staphylococcaceae
Description: partial 23S ribosomal RNA
Rfam family: Bacterial large subunit ribosomal RNA
Source: RNAcentral
GAAUCAAAGAAGGUAAUAAUCCUGUAGUCGAAAAUGUUGUCUCUCUUGAGUGGAUCCUGAGUACGACGGAGCACGUGAAAUUCCGUCGGAAUCUGGGAGGACCAUCUCCUAAGGCUAAAUACUCUCUAGUGACCGAUAGUGAACCAGUACCGUGAGGGAAAGGUGAAAAGCACCCCGGAAGGGGAGUGAAAUAGAACCUGAAACCGUGUGCUUACAAGUAGUCAGAGCCCGUUAAUGGGUGAUGGCGUGCCUUUUGUAGAAUGAACCGGCGAGUUACGAUUUGAUGCAAGGUUAAGCAGUAAAUGUGGAGCCGUAGCGAAAGCGAGUCUGAAUAGGGCGUUUAGUAUUUGGUCGUAGACCCGAAACCAGGUGAUCUACCCUUGGUCAGGUUGAAGUUCAGGUAACACUGAAUGGAGGACCGAACCGACUUACGUUGAAAAGUGAGCGGAUGAACUGAGGGUAGCGGAGAAAUUCCAAUCGAACCUGGAGAU